This 492-nucleotide ribosomal RNA is filed under the name uncultured bacterium. Its description in RNAcentral is "partial 16S ribosomal RNA". It matches the Rfam family "Bacterial small subunit ribosomal RNA", at positions 28 to 523 of the family's 1533-position model. The record is from RNAcentral.
GACGAACGCUGGCUGCGUGCUUAACACAUGCAAGUCGAACGCUGAAACCCUGGUGCUUGCACCGGGGUGGAUGAGUGGCGAACGGGUGAGUAACACGUGAGUAACCUGCCCCCGACUUCGGGAUAAGCGCGGGAAACUGGGUCUAAUACCGGAUAUGAGCGCCCCUCGCAUGAGGGAUGCUGGAAAGUCUUUUCGGUUGGGGAUGGGCUCGCGGCCUAUCAGUUUGUUGGUGAGGUAAUGGAUCACCAAGACGACGACGGGUAGCCGGCCUGGGAGGGCGACCGGCCACACUGGGACUGAGACACGGCCCAGACUCCUACGGGAGGCAGCAGUGGGGAAUAUUGCACAAUGGGGGAAACCCUGAUGCAGCGACGCAGCGUGCGGGAUGACGGCCUUCGGGUUGUAAACCGCUUUCAGCAGGGAAGAAGCCCCUUGGGGUGACGGUACCUGCAGAAGAAGUACCGGCUAACUACGUGCCAGCCGCCGCCGUAA